AAAAUCGUUAAAAUUUAUCUUAGAUUAAUAAAAAAAUAAAUAUUUACUUUUAAGGUUAUGUUCUUUAAGUGACAGUUGUUGACAGAUUAUUUAUAACCAAUAAAAGCAGUUUUAUUCUCUAAUAUUUUUAUUAAUUUUAAGUUUUAGCGAUUCAACUUGCAAAGGGACAAGGUUGGAUCUCAAUAGAGUCGAUGGGUUUUGUCUUUUUCAUACAAUAAAGGAAUUAAUAGAAAAUAAACUUCCUACAAUGUGUUAAAACGAAAAAAGAAGUAAAUAAGUUAAGGAAAAAUAUCAAAAUCUUCAUUUCGUUUAGAUGUUUUAGCCCCAAAAUUAAUUAAUUCUUUUUUAUUCGCUUUACAGGAAUCUGUAAUACUAGCAUAACCUAAAACUCACUACUUUUAAAGAAUUUUUUGUUAAAAAUAAGUUAAUUUGUGCAAAAUUUAAUGUUAAUCUCUUAAUGACGUCAGUUUCUUUACGAUUUAUUAUAUGUUUUAUAAUA
Molecule: long non-coding RNA, 499 nt
Organism: Onthophagus taurus
Lineage: Eukaryota; Metazoa; Arthropoda; Insecta; Coleoptera; Scarabaeidae
Source: RefSeq, a predicted model, not a curated record